AUACGUAGGGGGCGAGCGUUGUCCGGAAUGAUUGGGCGUAAAGGGCGCGUAGGCGGCCCGGUAAGUCUGGAGUGAAAGUCCUGUUUUUAAGAUGGGAAUUGCUUUGGAUACUGUCGGGCUUGAGUGCAGGAGAGGUAAGUGGAAUUCCCAGUGUAGCGGUGAAAUGCGUAGAGAUUGGGAGGAACACCAGUGGCGAAGGCGACUUACUGGACUGUAACUGACGCUGAGGCGCGAAAGUGUGGGGAGCAAACAGGAUUAGAUACCCUGGUAGUCCACACUGUAAACGAUGAAUGCUAGGUGUAGGGGGUAUCGACCCCUUCUGUGCCGCAGUCAACACAAUAAGCAUUCCGCCUGGGGAGUACGGCCGCAAGGUUGAAACUCAAAGGAAUUGACGGGU
RNAcentral lists this ribosomal RNA (397 nucleotides) under uncultured bacterium. Its description in RNAcentral is "partial 16S ribosomal RNA". It matches the Rfam family "Bacterial small subunit ribosomal RNA", at positions 523 to 918 of the family's 1533-position model. The record is from RNAcentral.